GAUGAAGAACGCAGCGAAAUGCGAAAAGUAAUGUGAAUUGCAGAAUUCAGUGAACCAUCGAAUCUUUGAACGCACAUUGCGCCCGCUGGAACUCCGGCGGGCACGCCUGUCCGAGCAUCAUUUCAACCCUCAGGCCCCCCUUCGCGGGCGGGCCUGGUGUUGGGGCCCGGCCGCUACCCUGCGGCCGUCCCCUAAAUUCAGUGGCGGCCUCGCCGUGAUCCCUUGCGUAGUAAUGCACCUCGCACCGGAGAGCGCCGUGGCCACGCCGUAAAACCCCCAAUUUUCAAUGGUUGACCUCGGAUCAGGUGGGAAUACCCGCUGAACUUAAGCAUAUCAAUAAGCGGAGGA
This 348-nucleotide unclassified non-coding RNA is filed under the name soil metagenome. RNAcentral's name for it is "partial contains 5.8S ribosomal RNA, internal transcribed spacer 2, and large subunit ribosomal RNA". The stretch from base 1 to 120 matches the Rfam family "5.8S ribosomal RNA", at positions 35 to 154 of the family's 154-position model. The record is from RNAcentral.